RNA transcript from Aethina tumida (small hive beetle), 1773 nucleotides. It is a transcript of the gene named CDC42 small effector protein homolog, with no coding region annotated. The record is from RefSeq and is a predicted model, not a curated record. The transcript is spliced from 5 exons. Lineage: Eukaryota; Metazoa; Arthropoda; Insecta; Coleoptera; Nitidulidae.
AUAUGUUCGGCUUCCAGUUCGGUCCGCUUGCUUUUCGCAUUCGCGAUCUUGCAGUUGGUAGACCGCGUUAUUGACGUUGAUGACCUUGGGUUGUUAAGAGGUUGUGUUUUUAGUCUUUGUAUUUUUCGGUUAAUGUUCCUUUUCUACGUUUACGGCUAGUUUUAAUAUACCACCUAAAACAUCACAGGCAAAGAUGGCUGCAGUUGGUGACUUGUGGGUGUCUUGGUUCAGCUGUUGUGUGGCUCAACCACAGAAAAGGAGGCAUCGGAUAGACAGAUCCAUGAUAGGAAAUCCUACAAAUUUUCAACACACCGGCCACAUAGGAAGUAGGGAUGUGGAAAUGCCGGGUGAUCAACUAAUAGCUCUACAAAAUCAGAUGAAGAGUAAAGGCGGAUACGAAAGCACGUACAAGGUGUCGGCAAAUGGAGCCCGCAUCGACAAUUAAGCAAGUAAAUUAGUCAUAGAACGAUUGUGAUGCCGGAAAUGGGGGUUUUGACACUAAAUUUUAUAAACAUAUAAUUAAAGAAGUACCGCUACAUAAAGACUGCCACUAGUUUUUAAAUGAACCUGUAUGGUGCCAAUAGAUAAUUGAAAGUGAAACUUGGUGCACAUCGUCUGACGUGUCAUACUUGCGUGGAUAUUUAUUAAUUUUGUGGUAUUAUUUUUAUUUUAGAUUUAACCUAGUAUUUCAUUGGACUGUAUAUAUUAAUUAAGAGUUUUGUUAUAUUAUUUCUAAAGUGUACAUAUUGUUAUCAAAAUAUUUAUGUGUUAGCCUUUUAUAUUCCGCGAUAUGUAAAAAAGGGGUGCGUUCAAAUGCAGAUCUGGAUUUUACAAACAACUGACAAACGACUGGUGGUUUAAUUUCCGUUUUAUAGCAAGUAAAACGUGUUUCCUAUCAAAUUACCACAACAUUCCUUGUGUUAAUAUUUUAUAUGUUAUAGAACAAAUAAAUUUCUUGAUUUGCAGUGACUAAAAGUAAAAUUAUUUAGUUCCACAUCACACAAUUAAGAGAUUACUGACUUUGAUGUGAUAUUUCCAUUAAAUCAAUUUCUGGAUUUGACAACGCCCUACAACAUCAGUUGCGCACAUUACAUUAAUUAUUUAAAAAUGUGUAGUUUAGUUAUAAUUGUUUUAUGUAUUAGUAGAUUGUAUGGUCGUACGAAAUGUUACACUAAUGGUUGUUUAUCAUCAAUGCAAUAAUUGUAAAAUUCUGACGAAUUGGUGCUGAUUAUCGCGUAUAUAUGAUUUUAUUUGUAAAUGAAAUUUUUAUUUUCCAAAUAUUUUUGUUCAAGAGAAUGUAAUGGUCACUAUGUGACUUUUUCCUCUAUCAAAAUACAGGUUUUAGUUUGUAAAUUAAAACACGUGAUUUAUUCUUAAGACAGAUCUUCCACAUCAUUGAAUUCAUUAAUUUCCAUAUGACUAAAUAUUCACGCGUUUAAAAUGUUUUUAAACAGAAUUCAAGACUUAUUACUACUACCCUCAAAGACUUAAGGUUUUGUACUAUAAACUGGUAGCUCAAUAUAUUGCCUUUAAGGAAUUGUAAAUUCUAUAUUGUACUAUAGAACAAUUUUCAAAAAAAUAGUUACUUUUUGAAUGUUGUGUUUAGACUUCAAAUAUACCUAUAUUACCUAAUUAUAUAAGUAUAACUAUUUUUGCACAGAACAAAUGGAUUGGCACAUAAUAGUAUUAUAUUUAAUAUGUGGUAUGAUCCAUGUACUUAUGUAGAAAAAAUUGUAAAUUUCUAUGAAUUCAAUAGAAUUAUAUAAUUUGAAA